This 480-nucleotide ribosomal RNA is filed under the name uncultured bacterium. Its description in RNAcentral is "partial 16S ribosomal RNA". It matches the Rfam family "Bacterial small subunit ribosomal RNA", at positions 30 to 507 of the family's 1533-position model. The record is from RNAcentral.
AUUGAACGCUGGCGGCAUGCCUUACACAUGCAAGUCGAACGGUAACAGGUCUUCGGAUGCUGACGAGUGGCGAACGGGUGAGUAAUACAUCGGAACGUGCCCAGACGUGGGGGAUAACGAGGCGAAAGCUUUGCUAAUACCGCAUACGAUCUAAGGAUGAAAGCGGGGACCCAAAGGCCUUGGCGGUUUGGGGGGGCGAUGGCAGAUUAGGGAGGUGGUGGGAUAAAAGCUUACCAAGCCGACGAUCUGUAGCUGGUCUGAGAGGACGACCAGCCACACUGGGACUGAGACACGGCCCAGACUCCUACGGGAGGCAGCAGUGGGGAAUUUUGGACAAUGGGCGAAAGCCUGAUCCAGCAAUGCCGCGUGCAGGAUGAAGGCCUUCGGGUUGUAAACUGCUUUUGUACGGAACGAAAAGGCUCUGGCUAAUACCUGGGGCACAUGACGGUACCGUAAGAAUAAGCACCGGCUAACUACGUG